UUCCAAGAGAAUGGAAGGGCGGGGGGAAGGAGAAUGCUCGGCGCCUGCGCACUAGCCCGAAGCCGCGAAUCGGCCGCCGAGAGCGGCGGCGGAGGGCCUGGCGCGUGCCUGGGAAAAGGCGGGAGACGGAAGAGUCUCGAGGCUCACGCAUGCGCACGCAGUCAACUGCCGACGGGGCGCCGGUGGAGCGGGGAGGCUGCCCGGUUGGUGUGUGGAGCGCGUGCCCUGACACUGGGUUCUGGAGCUUACAGAAAGAGCUCUUCAUCCUCAGCGCCGGAAAAAGCGGACCUCAAACCCUCCCUUCCCUCCCGAAGCACAUGCGCAGCCCUGCCCUUGAGAGACAUCGUUACUCUCUUCGCAGGUGUGAGAGACAUGGCCCAGCCCUUCAGGAAGAGACCGGCCUCCGAGCCGCGGCCACCAUUGCCGGCCCCUUGGACUACCUGGCCAUACGGGAGCCCUCAGCUUCUGGAUUGGGGCUGCCUUGCCUCCCCUCAGGCUGCUUCCACAACCAGCCCUUUAUUGCAUGGAUGAGACUUCACGUACCCCCUUGGGCCUGAGCACGUCAGAGGAGGGGGCAGCGCUGGCGGCCCGCGGAGUCUCGCAUACUGGUCCCGGUAACUCUCCCUUUGUCCGGAUUCAACCUUGCUGGAGACUUCGGCAGACCCCGCAGCCCCUCUUCCACGCCACCCUUCCUGAGAACACCACCGAGCCUGCCUGGCAGAGGAGUAGGUGCCGCCCCGCCCGCCUGGGGCGACCUGGAAAGCUCAAGGAUCCCUGAGGCCCGAUUUUACCCCUAGUGGGGAUGGAAGCACCGCGAGGAUGAGGAAACUGCGGCCCCGAGAGAGCAAAUGAAAUGCCCAAGUUCACAAAGGCCUCCCUAUUGGACCCAGGAGCUAGAGCAGCUCUACCUGGAGACUCAACCAGGAAGUCUGGCCACCACCCUCUGAGAUGGAAACAAAUUCAGAUACUGGGUUCUCCUGUCCCAUCCUGCGUGGGAAGUUCCCCUCAUUUCCCAGGACUCCUGGAGUGGUAAGAUAUCUUCAGGGGAUCAUAGCCAGGUAUCCCCACAGACCAGAGACCCUAGGGAUGAGGAGUCACCUCCUGACUUCCUUUAGGGUCAGAGUGGGACCCUGACCUCCCCUGAUGGUAACUCCACCUGGGGUCAAGAUCGAGAGUUUGUUCUAGAUCAAAUCUCUGAAGGAAGAGGGAAGACACAGGCUGCCCACCCAGGAUCCCCGGGGAGAGAAGAAGUGGCUCACAAGGUAGAGACGGAGUGGGGGAUGUCUGUGUCUGGGAAAGAGUGGCUAUCCGAUGCUCACUGUUAGGCCUCUGUCCCCUCCUUCCUGAAUAUAGGAGGGGUAAAGACCCAUCCCUGGGACAGCCUUGGGCACAUGCUGAUUUGCUCCCAUGCUGAUGUCAGUAUUACUACAGGGAACAGACUCUGACCGCCGGUAUUACAUGUGGGUGACAUGCUUCUAUGGUGUGGUUUUCCUUAUCGAUUUCACAUGUGUUUAUGGAACUUCUCUUGCUGGGUGCAGACAGGGGCGCCUGGGUAUCCGACCUGGCUGCCUUCUCAUCCUCCAAGACAUUGUCGCUGGAGCAGUGUCUGUUCAGAGUACAGGCAUGAGGAGAGGACCUCCCCAUUUCUCAUCAGGGGCUUAGCUGCAGGUCACCUGUGCCCUGCCUCCGAGUGCUGCUGUCCUGUCUGGUACCUUGACACACCUUGUCUUCCCAUUGCCUCAGCACAGCCUCCCCGGCGCAGGGAUCGGGGCCUCCAGGGUGCCUCCAGCUGACCGAAUUCCUGUGAUGGUGCAAAUUGAACCACAAAGCAGCCCCCGGGGGCCCCACCAACCAGGGCCCCACCCAGGAGCCCUGCCAAUCAGGCCCCACCCACUCGCAGGGAUAACCCGUGCCCUGUACGCCCACAGAGUCCAGAGCUGGACGGGUGUUUGGUGAAGACAUUGAAAAGAUCGCUCCCUUAAAAUAUGGAGCAUCAGAGGCUCCUGUGGUUCAGAGAUCGGCCCAGGUUGGAGGGUAGGGCGCUGUCAGUGCACGGGUGCUGGGAACCAGACCCACACUGGCCAGUCCCUGACUAAAGUCCAUUUUGUGGGGUGUAGAUUCAUACUUAAGGAAUGAUGCCAAGGUAUAUGAUUCUGAAGAUAAAGAGACACUCCUAUGAUAUAAUGUACUUUUUUGAGAGAGAGAGAGUACACCUGGGACGUGAGGGGAAGGGGGAGAGUCAGAGGGAGAAAGAGAAUCUUAAGCAAGCUCCAUGCCCAUCGUGGAGCCCGCUGGGGGCUCAGUCUCACCCCUGAGACCUCAGUGGAAAUCAAGAGUCCGCCCCUUAACCACGGGAGGCACCCAGGUGCCCCUGAUGUUCUUGUUAUUCCUUCCAAAUGAUAGUAUGACUUUGCUAAGAUGCCUCUCAAAUGGUGAGAACAUCAGAGAACACAGUCUAAUGACAUUGCGGAUAGAUUUGAGCUCAUGUUAUAUUUUUGCAUCCUGAUGUCUAGUGUUCCUUCAGCCGACUUGACAGUAUAACCCAGUGGGUGUCCUUCUGAUUUGUGGUUACACUCUUUGCAAAACCAGUCGUCCAGCUGGUGAGUCACAGGCACCCAUAAAUUAAUCUCCCUUAAAUAUGCCUCUUUCGGAACCUGACCAUGCCCUUUGCCCCGGCUGAUGCUUACUGUCUCUUCUCCAGGCCCUCUUUGCUCUUCCCCCAGCAGGAGCACUCCACUAGAGGGCACUCACACUCCUCCCUGAACCCAGAUCCACCUUUCCCAUAUCCUGAGACAAAUGCAAGUGUUUUCACUGCCAUAACCCCCAACCCUCAAAUAUUCUCUAGAUUUGCUCAAGGUGAAGUUCCAGGGACAGAAAUCAGGGUCCCCAGAAAAGAACCUCACAUUGGAGGAGAUGUGGCAGAAUGGACUGGGGACCUGGAACCAACCCCAGGUCCAAUUCAUUGGAGAGGGGAUGGUGCCGGGACAGUGAGCAACAUAGGCUGGAUGCUCAGGGCCCAGAUGCCCCAGCCCCACGUGUAGGCCCUGGGGAAAAUGACUGUGAGCCUGUGUCCCUAAAGGCCCUGUCACUUAGGACCUGUGCAGGAGGGCCUUGGCGGGACUUCUGUGGAACCUUCCAGACUAGGCCUCCUGGAUAUUCCUUAGCUGGAAGAGCCAGGAGAGAUGUAUCAUUCACCAUGGCACAGAAUCUCUCCGGGCCUGAGGGAGGAGGUGGUGUCCAGGCUUCACUCCCAACUCCACAUCAGGCCCCAAGAUUUUGGUGGAGUUGAGGUCUUGCCUGGCCUGGCUCUGCAGGACACCAUUGCUGGGCUCUGGGGAACUCAGCCUCCCCACCCCGUGACUGCAGUGCAGGAAUGAGACCCCAAAGUCCCUUCAGACUUGGACAGUUAAGGAACACAGGUGAAUCAGAGAGGGAUGUUGAGGAGAGACCUUCAUUUCUGGAGGUAGGAGUGGCUAGGGGAUGGGCACACACGUGGGAGGCAGCCUGUUUGCUGCUGCCACUGAAUCACUGAGAGGGUUUCCUCUGGAGAGUGCAGCCUUUUCCCUGCAAACAUUUGCUCAGCUCCCACCUCGGUGCUGCUAGCUGACGUGCCCCAUUCCUGUUCAACAAGACAGUCCUACAUCAGCUCAUUGUCCCCAUCACACCUGGGCAGCCCAGCUGUCCCGGCCUCUUGGGUCCUCAGAACAAUCAUUGCACCUCAGGCUUUCUGUACUGAUCAUCAAUCAUCUGCCAGGAGUGGGCAGCUGCCCCACAAAGGAGAGGAUACAGGGACAAUUUUAGCCACUCUGCAAGCCUGCAAGUCCAUCUGUGGGAGAGGAACCAGAAAAAUGACAGAACUUCAUGCUCAUUUCAGCUUGGAUAGUGUGUCCCUGGGAAAUCCACUGGGGAAUGCAUGGGUAUUUUCUUUUUUUCUAGUCACAGGCUUUUGAAUUUGGGAUGAUGAAUUUCCUUUGGUUGUCACCGUCAAUCUCAACCUCACCCAUCUGGGGCACAGACUGCAAAUUCCACACCUAGUGCCGGUUUGGUACUGGGGCCAAGACACUGGCAGCCUGGCUCAGGGCACCCUCCGUGCACAGCUGCUGCAGAGAUGUGCUGUUCCUCCCUGAGCAUCAGCACACAGCUCCACGGUGCCCAGCUCCAUGGUACCUGCCCUCCCCCCUGCAGACCCCCACCCCUCAGAGACUUCUGCCCCAGGGACAUUAUGUGGGUCAUUCCCACACUGCUGCUGCCUGUCUGGAGCUGUCCAGGAUCCUGUAGGUUCCCUGAGGUGUAGGUGUGUGUCUGUGCCUGUGUGAUAAGCCCUUGCACGCAUUCAAAAUCUGAAGUUGAGGGAAUUUGAGAUUCAUUCAAUAUAUACUUAUUUUGCAUUCAAGGAUUCAUAGUUAGGACUCCAUAUCAAAUAAGCAAGGGUUCAUGUUGUAUUGAAUCCUUCUUCUUAAUCUUCCUGCCCUCCCAGUGCUGGAGUGAGCCGUCCGCACCCUCCACCCACCUCUUGCAGCUCCUCAGACUUGGCCAUAGGAACAUACACACCAGGAAUCUCCAUUCUCUUUCUCUUUUCUUUUUAAGAUUUUACUUAUUUAUUUGUCAGAAAGAGAGAAGGGACAAGCAAGGGAGUGGCAGGCGGAGGAAGAAGCUGGCUCCCCACUGAGCAGGGAGCCUGG
Molecule: long non-coding RNA, 4682 nt
Organism: Lutra lutra (Eurasian river otter)
Lineage: Eukaryota; Metazoa; Chordata; Mammalia; Carnivora; Mustelidae
Exons: 3
Source: RefSeq, a predicted model, not a curated record